CGGCGGACGGGUGAGUAACACGUGGAUAACCUACCUAUAAGACUGGGAUAACUUCGGGAAACCGGAGCUAAUACCGGAUAAUAUAUUGAACCGCAUGGUUCAAUAGUGAAAGACGGUUUUGCUGUCACUUAUAGAUGGAUCCGCGCCGCAUUAGCUAGUUGGUAAGGUAACGGCUUACCAAGGCGACGAUGCGUAGCCGACCUGAGAGGGUGAUCGGCCACACUGGAACUGAGGCACGGUCCAG
RNAcentral lists this ribosomal RNA (244 nucleotides) under uncultured Staphylococcus sp. RNAcentral's name for it is "partial 16S ribosomal RNA". It matches the Rfam family "Bacterial small subunit ribosomal RNA", at positions 96 to 334 of the family's 1533-position model. Lineage: Bacteria; Bacillati; Bacillota; Bacilli; Caryophanales; Staphylococcaceae. The record is from RNAcentral.